AUGCCUAAGCUGUCCAGUUUCAGGGCUUCUCUUUCUUGGCAGGGAGCAUGAGAAGCCAUAGCUCUGCUCUGUUCUGCCCUCUGCCAAAGGAGAGUUGCCCUGUAACAGGACUCAGCUUAUG
This 121-nucleotide microRNA precursor is filed under the name Sorghum bicolor (sorghum). Its description in RNAcentral is "miR399i stem-loop (sbi-MIR399i)". Its record names the gene sbi-MIR399i. Lineage: Eukaryota; Viridiplantae; Streptophyta; Magnoliopsida; Poales; Poaceae. The record is from miRBase by way of RNAcentral.